Molecule: long non-coding RNA, 2097 nt
Organism: Cucumis melo (muskmelon)
Lineage: Eukaryota; Viridiplantae; Streptophyta; Magnoliopsida; Cucurbitales; Cucurbitaceae
Exons: 4
Source: RefSeq, a predicted model, not a curated record
GGAAAAAGAAAAAGAAAUAAUUAUAUUAUUAUUUUGUUUAAAUAAGGUCUUGUAGUGCGUGCGUUAUUAUUCACCUUCUCCCUCAUUGUGAAACCCUAAAUCAUCAUCUCCUUACCUUCAUCAAAGGAAAUCCCUACUCGCCGCCAAUCAUCUCCGUGGCGCGUCCUCUUGUCGGUUCUCUUUCUCUGUCAUCGCCCACUGUAAAGCUUCAUCGUGUAGUCACCGUCCGCGUUCUUCUUCCGUCAAUAGUUCGUCGUUGUUGUAAUUCAUCGACGCAUCUUCCGCUGAGCUCUUCGUUCAUCUCCAUCUUGCAUGCGUUGACGAACGGUAGGACGAAGCUGGUUCUUCCCCAUCCGUCAAACUCCAACCAAGCCACACAUGCAAACUCCAAGCCGCGCAACCCGAGCUGCACGCGAGCUGUCAUCUAGGCCCGAGCCGUACGUAAGCCAUCCUCGCAUUCGAGCCACGCGCAAGCCAUCCUCUGCAUCCGAGCCGCAAGCUUACUUUUGGUUCUUUUUCCACCUAUUUUGAUUUAAUUGAAAGUUUUGAGCUGUGAAAUUGUUCCAACCAAGGAUAAAUUGGAUUCGACUUCAAUUUUGGGAUUUAUUCUUGGGAAGCUUACUGUGGCUGUUAGAAAUAUUUUUGGAUUAAGCUAAUCUCCAGGUGUUCCUUUAGGUUCACUGAAGAUCACAGAUGUUCCUACGAGAUCACAAAUUGCGCAUGUUCGGAAACGCGCCAGUUUAAGGGUACUACUUUGUAGGACUCUAAUAGGAAGUUAACAGACAACUACCAGGAUUAAUAGUAGGUCCCUUACUGAGUAUAUUGUUAUACUCACUCUUUAAAUGUUUAAUUUUUCGGGUAAAGGUAGAGUUAGAGGUAAAGGAAAGUUGGCGAAUAACAAGAAGUGACCAUGGCGUGCCAUAGAGAAAUGUUUUGCUUCCACCGUUAUGUUAUCAGUUUAAAUUUCAGUAUUUUUAUAUUUUCGUUAUUACUCUUUUAAAACUAGAUAGGGCCCGAGCUAGGAUUUUAUUUUAGAGGUUUAUUUCUACAUACAUUAGUUUAUUUAUGAUUUUAAUGAGUACUUGAAGUUUUGAUUAUGAAAAUUCGUUUUAUUUUCCAUUUUGUUUUAAGAAAGUUUUAUUUUCCUUUAAGUAGUAAAGACCUUAGUUUAGUAUAAAGAGUUAGGUCGUUACAUGUUGUCUUUCUCGUUUCAACACAUUUAUAUCCUAAUUUUUUUAAAUGAUUUUUUAAACUCUAACACUCAUAUUUACUUACCGUAUGAGUUUAAAUUUGCGUAUAAAACGACAUAUAAUUUAAGGCACAUACAUUUCUAACUAUGAACUUAUUGAAAAGAAAAGUAUACAUAGUUGGUUUGAAACAAAUUAAUAUCAAAGGGUUAAAUAAUUGAACUUUUUCAAGUUCAUAGGUAUAAAUAAAAUUAAUUUUGCACCUCAAACUCUAUGAUGAUUCAACAUUUUUUUUUUAUUCUUACUUUUUUGUGUGAAGUGUGUGAACUUAAUCGUCAAAAGUAGAAGAAAAUAACCAUUUUAAUAUGAUAAAGUUCUUAGAUAUUGAUAUGGAAAGAAUGGUAACGAAAAUGAGGGCCAGAAAUCAAAUAGGAACUGCUUAUAAUAUUUUUUUUUCUGACAAAAGAAAAAGAAAAAGAAAGAUGUUUGAUGUGUUUCACCAAAGUUCGAUUUGAUAAUAAAUGCAUGGCCAUUGAGUUCGACAAGUCGUAGUUGGUGUUGAAUCCUGUCAAGUAUGGGCCAACCCAAAACCUAUUCUACUACACUGCUAAAAAAUGUUUAUUGGGCCAUGUAAGCCCAAUCAAAUUUCAGCCCAUUUAAAACUUUAGAAGAUGAAAUUUGAGUUUGAUUUGCAUAAAAUAAAUGUAACCGUCAUAAAUAUGGAGUCAGUAGAUCUAACACAAUAUUGUACAUACAGCCAAAUAUUGAUUCAACCAUGUGAGAUCGUCGGUAGAAGUACUCUAUCAAUGAUAUAAACUAUAUCACUGCUAAAGAGUCUAUCUUUGAUUUUUUUUAUAAAAAAAAAUGUUGCUAUUGAACACAAUUUUUGGAAGGGAGAGAAGUAACUGGA